ACAACUUUCAGCAACGGAUCUCUUGGCUCUCGCAUC
RNAcentral lists this ribosomal RNA (36 nucleotides) under Marasmius mokfaensis. RNAcentral's name for it is "partial 5.8S ribosomal RNA". RNAcentral also lists the same sequence under 2 other names. Lineage: Eukaryota; Fungi; Basidiomycota; Agaricomycetes; Agaricales; Marasmiaceae. The record is from RNAcentral.